CAUUCUCAAAAAACCCUUCUUUAUCAAGAAAGGCUUUUUGGACUUUGGAGGUUAUUGCUGGUCCCCCUUUGAUAGCCAGCUCCUCUUAAAUGGAUUAGUAGGGACCACUUUGCAGACCCUAGACGUGAUAAGAUGUUUUCUACGUCUUGGGUUUUUGCUCUGUCCUUUGGAAACCUGCUUAUAACCGUCUUGUGAAAAGACAAGCAUUCGAGCCCUUCUCGUUGAUCGGGGAAGGCUUGACUCUAAGAA
This 249-nucleotide unclassified non-coding RNA is filed under the name uncultured Russula. Its description in RNAcentral is "sequence contains ITS2". The record is from RNAcentral. Lineage: Eukaryota; Fungi; Basidiomycota; Agaricomycetes; Russulales; Russulaceae.